CUUUCAUAAUUGUUCUUUUUUAUUUAUAUAUAUUAGUGAAUAUAUUAGUGAAUAUUUAUAAUAUGUAUUGAUUAUCGUAAUUAGAAAUUCUUUAGCGAUUAAAUUAUUCUUUUUCUUUCAUUUAUCAAUAUUUUAGAAUGACAGGUUAGGGUUAGAAAUAUUUUACAUUUUGACUUUUUAAAAUUAAAUUUGUGCUUGAUCAUUAUUUUAUUUUAAUAUAUUUAAUUAGUUUUAUACACUUAUGUAAUAAUUUUGAUUUUAUUUCGUGCAAAUUAUUAUAAGUGCUUUCCGAGUUCGGCGGGAAGAACUUCGAAGGCGGGAAAAAUUCCAAUAUGGACGCCAUCAAGCUUUUUUCAUCGACGAUGACAUGGUAAAAUCUAAUAUUUUAGAAUUUUUGCGACCACGUACAAUGUGGUCAGUAGAAUCAGUGUUUGCUUCGUAAAUUUUUUUAAUCUUUCAGUGGAUACGCGAAAUUAGAAUCAGUGUUUGUUCGUUGUAAUUUAAAUUAUAUUGCAUUUAUUUAUAAAAUAUAUGUUUCGGGUUUAUAUUCGAGUCAGUGUUUCUUUUAAGAAAAGAAAGCAUCAUUUGAAUAGUUUUGUGAUUUCCUGUUACAUGAUGAUAAUAACUUCUGGACCACGACACAAUGAAGGCGUUCAUCGCAUCAUAUGGUGAGUCGCAUGUUUUUUGAUUCCUCCGAUCAUUCAACCAUGUCGUAGGAUGAAAGAUCCGAAUCGACACGAAUGAUUGGUUGUAUACGUAGAAUUUUGCACGAGCAUAGUGACCACGAAUAUUUAUUAUAUUCGUGAAUAGUAACAUUUUCUUUGUACAUGUUUUAUUUAUUAGAUUAGGCUAGGUUUUCUUGUACAUCAAAUUGUUUAAUAUUAGUAUUAUUCUAAUAAUUUAUUUAUUGAUAUGAAUAUUAGAGUUUAUUUAAUAUAGAUAUUAGAAAACAUUCAGUAUUUACAAAUAUUCGUGUGCAAGUUAUACAAAUAUUCAAAUAAAUAGUAAAUAAUGAAAUAAAAAAUAAUUUUUUAAUUUUUCUUUUCUUUCAUGAUAAUAUUUGAUUUAGUUAUUUGACUUUUA
Molecule: long non-coding RNA, 1083 nt
Organism: Apis cerana (Asiatic honeybee)
Lineage: Eukaryota; Metazoa; Arthropoda; Insecta; Hymenoptera; Apidae
Source: RefSeq, a predicted model, not a curated record